UACGUAGGGUGCGAGCGUUGUCCGGAAUUAUUGGGCGUAAAGAGCUUGUAGGCGGUUUGUCACGUCUGCUGUGAAAACUGGAGGCUCAACCUCCAGCCUGCAGUGGGUACGGGCAGACUAGAGUGCGGUAGGGGAGAUUGGAAUUCCUGGUGUAGCGGUGGAAUGCGCAGAUAUCAGGAGGAACACCGAUGGCGAAGGCGGGUCUCUGGGCCGUAACUGACGCUUAGGAGCGAAAGCGUGGGGAGUGAACAGG
This 253-nucleotide ribosomal RNA is filed under the name uncultured bacterium. RNAcentral describes it as "partial 16S ribosomal RNA". It matches the Rfam family "Bacterial small subunit ribosomal RNA", at positions 524 to 776 of the family's 1533-position model. The record is from RNAcentral.